This 84-nucleotide transfer RNA is filed under the name Actinomadura cremea. Its description in RNAcentral is "tRNA-Gly". Lineage: Bacteria; Bacillati; Actinomycetota; Actinomycetes; Streptosporangiales; Thermomonosporaceae. The record is from RNAcentral.
UCGCCGGGGUGUUCGGCGCGGCACUCGCGGCGCUGCCGUCGCUGCGGACGUCGCUGGUGGCGUUCGACACCUCGGUGGUGGACC